AGUGAACGCUGGCGGUAGGCCUAACACAUGCAAGUCGAACGGCAGCACAGUAAGAGCUUGCUCUUACGGGUGGCGAGUGGCGGACGGGUGAGGAAUACAUCGGAAUCUACUUUUUCGUGGGGGAUAACGUAGGGAAACUUACGCUAAUACCGCAUACGACCUACGGGUGAAAGCAGGGGAUCUUCGGACCUUGCGCGAUUGAAUGAGCCGAUGUCGGAUUAGCUAGUUGGCGGGGUAAAGGCCCACCAAGGCGACGAUCCGUAGCUGGUCUGAGAGGAUGAUCAGCCACACUGGAACUGAGCCACGGUCCAGACUCCUACGGGAGGCCGCAGUGGGGAAUAUUGGACAAUGGGCGCAAGCCUGAUCCAGCCAUACCGCGUGGGUGAAGAAGGCCUUCGGGUUGUAAAGCCCUUUUGUUGGGAAAGAAAAGCAGCAGGUUAAUACCCCGCUGUUCUGACGGUACCCAAAGAAUAAGCACCGGCUAACUUCGUG
This 492-nucleotide ribosomal RNA is filed under the name uncultured bacterium. RNAcentral describes it as "partial 16S ribosomal RNA". It matches the Rfam family "Bacterial small subunit ribosomal RNA", at positions 29 to 507 of the family's 1533-position model. The record is from RNAcentral.